ACACUCCUACGGGAGGCAGCAGUGGGGAAUUUUGGACAAUGGGCGAAAGCCUGAUCCAGCAAUGCCGCGUGAGUGAAGAAGGCCUUCGGGUUGUAAAGCUCUUUUGUCAGGGAAGAAACGGUGAAAGCUAAUAUCUUUUGCUAAUGACGGUACCUGAAGAAUAAGCACCGGCUAACUACGUGCCAGCAGCCGCGGUAAUACGUAGGGUGCAAGCGUUAAUCGGAAUUACUGGGCGUAAAGCGUGCGCAGGCGGUUUUGUAAGUCUGAUGUGAAAUCCCCGGGCUCAACCUGGGAAUUGUAUUGGAGACUGCAAGGCUAGAAUCUGGCAGAGGGGGUAGAAUUCCACGUGUAGCAGUGAAAUGCGUAGAUAUGUGGAGGAACACCGAUGGCGAAGGCAGCCCCCUGGGUCAAGAUUGACGCUCAUGCACGAAAGCGUGGGGAGCAAACAGGAUUAGAUACCCCUGUAGUCCCAU
RNAcentral lists this ribosomal RNA (473 nucleotides) under uncultured organism. Its description in RNAcentral is "partial 16S ribosomal RNA". It matches the Rfam family "Bacterial small subunit ribosomal RNA", at positions 333 to 798 of the family's 1533-position model. The record is from RNAcentral.